CAUGCGGUGACGUAAUCAUCGCAAGCACCGCCCACGCCUCGAGAGCGCCUCAGCGGAGCCCAGUUUGGGAGGAAAUCCUGAAGUAAAAAGUGCAGAUUUUCAGCUCCCGGACCCUGCGGACACUCCGGACACCACCGGACACCGCGGACACUCCGGACACUCCGGACACUCCGGACACUCCCAGACACUCCCGGACA
Long non-coding RNA from Vidua macroura (Pin-tailed whydah), 197 nucleotides. RefSeq lists it as uncharacterized. NCBI's taxonomy places the organism in Eukaryota, Metazoa, Chordata, Aves, Passeriformes, Viduidae. The transcript is spliced from 4 exons. The record is from RefSeq and is a predicted model, not a curated record.